UGGGGAAUUUUGGACAAUGGGCGCAAGCCUGAUCCAGCCAUGCCGCGUGAGUGAAGAAGGCCUUCGGGUUGUAAAGCUCUUUCGGCGGGGACGAAGCGGUUCGUGACAACACCACGGACUAAUGACGGUACCCGCAUAAGAAGCACCGGCUAACUACGUGCCAGCAGCCGCGGUAAUACGUAGGGUGCAGGCGUUAAUCGGAAUUACUGGGCGUAAAGGGUGCGCAGGCGGUUUGUUAAGACAGGUGUGAAAUCCCCGGGCUUAACCUGGGAAUUGCGCUUGUAACUGGCAGGCUAGAGUGUGGCAGAGGGGGUGGAAUUCCACGUGUAGCAGUGAAAUGCGUAGAUAUGUGGAGGAACACCGAUGGCGAAGGCAGCCCCCUGGGUUAACACUGACGCUCAUGCACGAAAGCGUGGGGAGCAAACAGGAUUAGAUACCCUCGUAGUCCCUGAGCGGGCUGGCAAGGCGCAU
This 471-nucleotide ribosomal RNA is filed under the name uncultured bacterium. RNAcentral describes it as "bacterial SSU rRNA". It matches the Rfam family "Bacterial small subunit ribosomal RNA", at positions 355 to 825 of the family's 1533-position model. The record is from RNAcentral.